UUACGCCCAUAUCACGUUGAAGCACCAGUACCCAUACGAUCACUGAAGUUAAGCAACGUAGAGUCUGGUCUGUAUUUAGAUCGGUGACCGCUUGAAAAUGCCAGGUGCAGUAAG
Acanthosepion pharaonis is the source of this 114-nucleotide non-coding RNA. The record is from the annotation of a GenBank genome assembly. NCBI's taxonomy places the organism in Eukaryota, Metazoa, Mollusca, Cephalopoda, Sepiida, Sepiidae.